This is a microRNA precursor of Homo sapiens (human), 91 nucleotides long. The record is from Ensembl. Lineage: Eukaryota; Metazoa; Chordata; Mammalia; Primates; Hominidae.
UAUAACAUUGUAUAUACCCACUGUGAUAUUAAGAGUAAUAGCUCUCUAGGUUAUUAUGAAUAAUAUCACAGUAGGUGUACACAAUGUUGUA